Molecule: ribosomal RNA, 460 nt
Filed under: uncultured bacterium
Lineage: Bacteria
Description: partial 16S ribosomal RNA
Rfam family: Bacterial small subunit ribosomal RNA
Source: RNAcentral
CCUACGGGAGGCUGCAGUGAGGAAUAUUGGUCAAUGGACGAGAGUCUGAACCAGCCAAGUAGCGUGAAGGAUGACUGCCCUAUGGGUUGUAAACUUCUUUUAUAUGGGAAUAACAUGUUCCACGUGUGGGAUUUUGUAUGUACCAUAUGAAUAAGGAUCGGCUAACUCCGUGCCAGCAGCCGCGGUAAUACGGAGGAUCCGAGCGUUAUCCGGAUUUAUUGGGUUUAAAGGGAGCGUAGGUGGAUUGGUACGUCAGUUGUGAAAGUUUGCGGCUCAACCGUAAAAUUGCAGUUGAAACUGGCAGUCUUGAGUACAGUAGAGGUGGGCGGAAUUCGUGGUGUAGCGGUGAAAUGCUUAGAUAUCACGAAGAACUCCGAUUGCGAAGGCAGUUCACUGGACUGCAACUGACACUGAGGCUCGAAAGUGUGGGUAUCAAACAGGAUUAGAUACCCUGGUAGUC